Molecule: long non-coding RNA, 581 nt
Filed under: Anas platyrhynchos platyrhynchos (common mallard)
Lineage: Eukaryota; Metazoa; Chordata; Aves; Anseriformes; Anatidae
Description: lncRNA (ENSAPLG00000029483.1)
Source: RNAcentral
ACUUUUGAGAACCUUUUCUGAGAAACAUAAAGCUGCCAGAGUUCCAGUGCCUGCCUGCCUGCUGCUAAACUAAGACCAGAUGAUGGAGCUGCGUCCAAGCUGAGUAUGUCAGCCCUGGGAAUGAGAGCUCCUGGCGACAGCUCCAGCGCUGCAAACCCACACCAGUGACCCUGCUCGGAACAGAAAGCCAGGCAAAGACAGAAACAGCAAAUGGGGGACAGGAGGGCAGCCAGUUUUAGGUUACCAUAUCUAAAUCCAUUUUGGUCUGAUACUGAAUGAAGUCUGUUCCUGAUGGAGUUGCCUCAGCAAUUUUUCUGAAGAAUCCUUCAAACCAUUUUUUUAAGCAAAACAUGAAGGCAGCUGAAAAAGACAUCGUGGAAGAGAAAGGAUCCAUGCUGGUCAAAACAGGCAGCCUUAUGCAUCAGCACCAGAGCUGCAGUGGCACAAAGCAAGGUAGUUUGCCCCUUCUGUCCAGCACAGCAAUCACUUUAUUAGUCUUUACCAAAAAAAAAGUCUUCCACAAGCAUAUACUCUACCUCAGUCCUGGCAAAACUUUCAAAACUUUUUGUUAUUGCUUCUGA